UACGGGGGGUGCGAGCGUUGUCCGGAAUCACUGGGCGUAAAGGGCGCGUAGGUGGUUUGAUAAGGGUGUGGUGAAAGCCCGGGGCUCAACCCCGGGUCUGCCGUGCCGACUGUCAAACUCGAGGACUGUAGAGGCAGACGGAAUUCCGGGUGUAGCGGUGGAAUGCGUAGAGAUCCGGAGGAAGACCGGUGGCGAAGGCGGUCUGCUGGGCAGUUUCUGACACUGAGGCGCGACAGCGUGGGGAGCAAACAGG
This 253-nucleotide ribosomal RNA is filed under the name uncultured bacterium. Its description in RNAcentral is "partial 16S ribosomal RNA". It matches the Rfam family "Bacterial small subunit ribosomal RNA", at positions 524 to 776 of the family's 1533-position model. The record is from RNAcentral.